GCAAGUCGAGCGGAAACGACAUUAUUGUAUCUUCGGAGGAUUUAAUGGGCGUCGAGCGGCGGACGGGUUAGUAAUGCCUAGGAAAUUGCCUUGAUGUGGGGGAUAACCAUUGGAAACGAUGGCUAAUACCGCAUAAUGCCUACGGGCCAAAGAGGGGGAUCUUAGGUCCUCUCGCGUCAAGAUAUGCCUAGGUGGGAUUAGCUUGUUGGUGAGGUAAUGGCUCACCAAGGCGACGAUCCCUAGCUGGUCUGAGAGGAUGAUC
This 262-nucleotide ribosomal RNA is filed under the name uncultured bacterium. Its description in RNAcentral is "partial 16S ribosomal RNA". It matches the Rfam family "Bacterial small subunit ribosomal RNA", at positions 57 to 305 of the family's 1533-position model. The record is from RNAcentral.